RNAcentral lists this long non-coding RNA (207 nucleotides) under Elaeis guineensis (African oil palm). Its description in RNAcentral is "long non-coding RNA (EGUI_LNC040843)". The record is from RNAcentral. Lineage: Eukaryota; Viridiplantae; Streptophyta; Magnoliopsida; Arecales; Arecaceae.
GAUAAAUUCAGCCAUAAUAAUAUACUAAAAAAUAAAUUUAUAAAAUAUAUCAAUUCAAAUAUACAAUACUAAUCAAAAUAAGAUCCAUGUAAAUUUAAUCUUUCCAAAAUUCAUUCUCAAUUUUAUUUUCAUUCAAAAAUCAAUUUCUUUGAAACAUCUAGUUCACCUCAAUAGCCAUGAACUAUGAUCAUCCUUAUAUCCUGUGGU